GCGUAUCUCGCAUGGAGGUGUGUAUCUCUAUGGAGGCGUCUGCGAAGUGUGGUGUGUGUAGCAAUGUAGGUGUGUAUGUAUACUAGAAUAAGAUCCGAUUCUUCCUUGUCCUCUGACUUGGCCAAGUCCGUGCGCGCCCUGAAUACAAUAAGAAUUUUUUUUUUAUAUAGUGUCACACUAGACUGUCUAAAUCCAUUUUAGACGGACUCUAUAAAAUUAGAUGACAGACCCUUGGAAAAUAAAACAAAUAGAUAGACCCCCCCAUCCAUCUAGAUACCUCGACACCCCGUCACCCCACCGUCACCCCUUUCACAGUACCAGCAUAGUACUCACAUAGCACUACCACAUCUGUCAGCACACAUUCUCGCCAAGUACGCAUGCCCAGCGACCGGGAUCGAUCCGAUUCGCUCCUCUUCCAGCCAGGCUCCACACGAUUCGUGUGCAUACAAAAAGCACCAGCACAGCCUCGUUCGUCGUGCAGUGAGUGGGUGUGGGUGUGUCCCCUCCCACCCUAGUUGCAUGGCACAGCAUACCAACAUGCCUUUGCACCACCACCUUGCAACACGAGAGAGACCAUACAGCAUAUAACACACAGCACAGCACAGCACAACAUAACACAACACACUAACAUUAUUCUAUCCACUAGAUCGGG
Molecule: unclassified non-coding RNA, 652 nt
Filed under: Malassezia pachydermatis
Lineage: Eukaryota; Fungi; Basidiomycota; Malasseziomycetes; Malasseziales; Malasseziaceae
Description: partial miscellaneous RNA
Source: RNAcentral